AUUGAACGCUGGCGGCAUGCUUUACACAUGCAAGUCGAACGGUAACAGGCCUUCGGGUGCUGACGAGUGGCGUACGGGUGAGUAAUGCAUCGGAACGUGCCCAGUGGUGGGGGAUAACGCAGCGAAAGCUGUGCUAAUACCGCAUGUGAUCUGAGGUUGAAAGCGGGGGACCAGGCAGCAUUGUUUGGCCUCGCGCCUUUGGAGCGGCCGAUGUCAGAUUAGGUAGUUGGUGGGGUAAAGGCCUAACAAGCCGACGAUCUGUAGCUGGUCUGAGAGGACGACCAGCCACACUGGGACAGAGACACGGCACAGACUCCUACGGGAGGCAGCAGUGGGGAAUUUUGGACGAUGGGGGAAAGCCUAAUCCAGCAAUACCGCGUGAGGGAAGAAGGCCUUCGGGUUGGAGACCGAUUUUGUACGGAACGAAAAGGCUCUGGCUAAUACCUGAGGCUGAUGACAGUACCGUAAGAAUAAGCACCGGCUAACUACGUG
Molecule: ribosomal RNA, 492 nt
Filed under: uncultured bacterium
Lineage: Bacteria
Description: partial 16S ribosomal RNA
Rfam family: Bacterial small subunit ribosomal RNA
Source: RNAcentral